CAGUCUAUGGUGCGAUAUUGAGACAGACGGCUAAUUCUAUGAAUGUGAUGAUAAUCAUUUAAUUUGAUGUAAUAGUCUUCAUUUCACCCGGUUUAUGUAACGUAUGUUUUACGGUUAGGGUUCAAAGAUUGUGUGAAAUUGCACGUCAGGGGUGUUACGAGUUCUCUGUAAAACAGAAUUCGGAGAUCUUUCUUCACGCCAUCGCUCCCACGUCCCGAGGCAGAUGCCUUCACCUCAAUGGCGUGGCGUCCCAAAGCUAUUGGGACGAUGACAAAAGGGGGUCGCAGAGGGAGAGGAGCGGUAAUGAGACGACUACAGCCGCCAGCCACACAGAGUCCACGCGCAUCUUUGCCCGUCUGUCUCUGACUCUGAACUAUCAGACGCUCAUUCACAAUGUAUUCAGCCCUGCU
Megalobrama amblycephala (Wuchang bream) is the source of this 410-nucleotide long non-coding RNA. RefSeq lists it as uncharacterized. The record is from RefSeq and is a predicted model, not a curated record. NCBI's taxonomy places the organism in Eukaryota, Metazoa, Chordata, Actinopteri, Cypriniformes, Xenocyprididae. The transcript is spliced from 3 exons.